AGAUUUCCUGAAAUUACUGAUCGGAACUUCUUGACUUUGGCUCGGAGUUGUGGUGGGAGCCACACUGUAAAUAGUUCGCAACGUCACAACAAACUUCAGCCACUCACAGAGUACCAGAUAGAGGAUGAAACAGUGACCCCACUAAUCCAACAGGAAGACGCAAUAGACAUCCUAGGUACUGACAGUCACAUUUACAAAGGAAGGAUUGGAUUAAAGCUUCCAGCUAUUCCAGAAGAAAAAGCUACUCUUCCUAAGAACAAAGAAAACCCUUCAAGUUUAUCAUCUCUCAAAGCCACUACCCUGUGUUCUGACAGUGCACCAUCUUGUCCCCAAAGUGACAAAGUAUCAUCAUGCAACCGUUCAGGCUCAACUCAAGUUAGGAAAAAUAAACCAGUCUCAUCACAAGGUCAUCCAAUUCUAUCCAGUUUGAAACAUGUCCCUCAGCCACAGCAAAGACCUAAACAGAAGGCAGUGUUACAAGGGCAUGUGACUUUAGAAAUAUGAAUGGACAUAAUUUGGAUCAGCAGCCCAAUAGCUUCAAAUUGAACAAUGAACCCAUAAUCUGGUACCCUCAGACACAAAGGACUUAUCUCAAAGAAAAAUAAACCUCCCAAAUGUAGAAACCAAAUGCACAGAAUAUACAUUGAAAAAUGUCAAAGACAAGCCGGCAGACCUAAACUUUUAAGACAAUGAAUACAUAGCCAUAUAAUGAAACACAAUUUCAAAUGAGUGC
Molecule: long non-coding RNA, 733 nt
Organism: Protopterus annectens (West African lungfish)
Lineage: Eukaryota; Metazoa; Chordata; Ceratodontiformes; Protopteridae
Exons: 4
Source: RefSeq, a predicted model, not a curated record